This is a small nuclear RNA of Suncus etruscus (white-toothed pygmy shrew), 102 nucleotides long. NCBI's taxonomy places the organism in Eukaryota, Metazoa, Chordata, Mammalia, Eulipotyphla, Soricidae. The record is from RefSeq and is a predicted model, not a curated record.
GUGCUUACUUUAGCAGCACACAUACAAAAAUUGGAAAGAUACAGAGAUUAGCAUUCCUUUUUGAAAAGUGUCAUGAACAUUUGUGAAGUAUUCCAUAGUCUU